GGAUACAGCUCAGUGGUAGAGCUUGUGCUUAGCAUGCAUGAGGGUGAGGUCCUGGGUUCAACUCCCAGUACCUCCA
This 76-nucleotide transfer RNA is filed under the name Camelus bactrianus (Bactrian camel). It matches the Rfam family "tRNA". From Rfam's summary of the family: Transfer RNA (tRNA) molecules are approximately 80 nucleotides in length. Their secondary structure includes four short double-helical elements and three loops (D, anti-codon, and T loops). The record is from Rfam by way of RNAcentral. RNAcentral also lists the same sequence under 1 other name. Lineage: Eukaryota; Metazoa; Chordata; Mammalia; Artiodactyla; Camelidae.